This 1024-nucleotide long non-coding RNA is filed under the name Bos indicus x Bos taurus (hybrid cattle). Its description in RNAcentral is "lncRNA (ENSBIXG00000018303.1)". The record is from RNAcentral. Lineage: Eukaryota; Metazoa; Chordata; Mammalia; Artiodactyla; Bovidae.
GUUUCUGCUUCAUCUGUUUCAAGUAUAUCAAAUCAUUUGAUCCCAAAUAUUUUGCAUGUAAGCAAUGGUCUAAAUCUCUUUUGAGACUAAUAUUAUUUCCUAAUGACCAGCUAUUCUUUCUGAGAUUAGAUUGCUUUUUUAAGUGAUGCUCCUGCUGCUGCUAAGUCACUUCAGUCGUGUCAGACUCUGUGUGACCCCAUAGACGGCAGCUCCCCCGUCCCUGGGAUUCUCCAGGCAAGAAUUCUGGAGUGGGUUGCCAUUUCCUUCUCCACAUCCCUCUGAUUCUUUCUUAGAAGGAAAGCAGGCCACUUUAGAUAAUCCCAUGACUCUUUGGUAAAGGACUUUUUUUAUUGCUGAUUUUAUUUAUUCCCAGAAGCCCCUGGAAACGGUUCCUCCCCCGCUGCUGACCUGCUGUCUGGAAUUGAGGUUCUGUGGUGAACUAGGUGGUUGGGCCAAUUAUCUAGCCGUCAAGACUGCCUGGACCUCAGCCUUCUCCUUACACAGAAUUAACUGAAGAUAUACAUUCUGAAGGCAUGGAAGUACCUCUCAAACUACUGUGAUCAUCCUGUCCCCAAGGUGAGUCUGUCCUCGUAUUGUCCACAAACGCUUCAUCCAGUAUAAUUCCAAGUGACGACAGGAAACAGGGGCUGCUGCCCCUCACUUAAACAGCUCUCCACUGUGAUGGGACUAAUCGAUUUGGGGGAGAUUUAUCCUGCUGUGUGUGCCUUCCUCCCAAUAACAUUGUGUGUUGCUCGCUCUCUUUAAGGCCUGGCUUAAUCGAUGCUAUGAAUCCAAACCACAUUUCGAGCUCCUGUUAAGAAUCCAGUGCUUCUGAGUAUUAGCUUAGUAGCAAUCAGUUUAACCUCCCCAUCAUGUAUUCUAUUGUGAGAGGAGAUAUAAAUUAGGCUUUAGAUUGCUUAUUCUGAGUAGCUCAGGAGCAGAAUUUUCAUGAAAUCAUCUUGAAAAUCCAGAAGACCCUAUAUCAUGGCACCAUAAUCCAGUUUCUUCCUCAUUCACCCAUCUG